GAUGAAGAACGUAGCGAAAUGCGAUAAGUAAUGUGAAUUGCAGAAUUCAGUGAAUCAUCGAAUCUUUGAACGCACCUUGCACCCUUUGGCAUUCUGAAGGGUAUGCUCGUUUGAGUGUCAUUGUACUCUCACACUCCCGAUCUUUGCAUUGGGAGCAGUGGACUUGGGUUUGCUGCUUCACCGUCGCUUACCUCAAAUAGGUUAGAGCAACUCUUGGUUGGACAUAGUACGGCGUGAUAAGUGUUCUUCGCCGGUGCCUCGCAAAGAGGGUGGCCGAUCGGGAUGUUGUGCUCCAAACCGUCUUCGGACAAUCUCUGACGACUUGACCUCAAAUCGAGUAAGACUACCCGCUGAACUUAAGCAUAUCAAUAAGCGGAGGA
RNAcentral lists this unclassified non-coding RNA (380 nucleotides) under soil metagenome. RNAcentral describes it as "partial contains 5.8S ribosomal RNA, internal transcribed spacer 2, and large subunit ribosomal RNA". The stretch from base 1 to 120 matches the Rfam family "5.8S ribosomal RNA", at positions 35 to 154 of the family's 154-position model. The record is from RNAcentral.